GUGUUUUAUAGCUGGAGCCUAAAGAUAUUAUUCAAGAAGAGGGUCCAGUUUUGGGACCACUGAUAGUGUUGGAAGUGCCUUGUGAGGCCUACCUGACUUCCCUGUUGACCUCCCCCCUUCACAACCUUCCCUCACCUGAUAUCAUCGUGCACAUCACCCCACAGAGCAUCAUUGACGACCCCAGAUACCAGACCUUCAUGAAACGCUACAACUGUCGUCACCUGAUUCUCAAUGAAGCUGCCGAGAUUAGUUACCUUCCUGAACUCCACAACGCAUGUGGCAUACGUAACUACAUUCACGGAGAUAUAUUCCCCCUACCUCGUGGGUACUCGUUCAUAAGACCGGAUAUAGCACAGGGCGCCAACACUGUAUAUGGUUGCUACCAUUUGAAUUACAUGAUGAGGCCGUAUAGUUUGAAGGGAUU
This is a long non-coding RNA of Dreissena polymorpha, 424 nucleotides long. RefSeq lists it as uncharacterized. The record is from RefSeq and is a predicted model, not a curated record. Lineage: Eukaryota; Metazoa; Mollusca; Bivalvia; Myida; Dreissenidae. The transcript has 3 exons.